This is a non-coding RNA of Camelina sativa (false flax), 1175 nucleotides long. The record is from RefSeq and is a predicted model, not a curated record. NCBI's taxonomy places the organism in Eukaryota, Viridiplantae, Streptophyta, Magnoliopsida, Brassicales, Brassicaceae.
AGAUGUUUUUGGUAUGUUUAGAAACUUGUCUGUGUCAGUUUCUGAUUGGGUGGAAGAAAAAUAAAUAUUUUUUUUUUUGUUAUUUAAUUUUCUCUCUCGUUUCUCCCUUGAUCCCAUCGACUUCCAUAUCAUCUCCGCAGAAAAGACGACGAUAGAAUUGAAGGUCAUUCAGUUGGAUAUUGGAUUUGACCGGCGGCAUCACAUCUCCACCGUAAGAGACACCAUCGACGAUCUCGGUUCAUCAAUUCGAUCGCGAUUUGGUUGAAUAAAUCGGAUAUUUGGUUGCUUUUUCUCUCUCGUCUGUGUUUAUAUGAUUGUUCGCUUAGCUCCGAGUUUCUCUGGAUUUGAAAUAUACGAGUUCGCUGCUCUGGAUUUCGUUUUAUCUUUCCGAUUUGUACUCUGAGAUUUUUGUAUGUUUGUUUGUUUCCUACGUCUUUUUGUACAAUUUGACUUUCAAUUUUGAGAUUGAUUUCGUAGAACACUCGCUUUGUAGAAUGUGCUGAGAUAGCUUAAUAAAUGUAGCCUGUGAUGUUUUAUUAUUCUAAUCUGUAGGUGAAGUUUUCGCUUACUUGUGUUGUGACAUUCAGAUUUACAUGUGCGAGCCAGAGUUGCUUCAGUUUGGUUAUUCUGGAAUUGAUUGAUCAGUACGAGAAAGUUGAGAAGAUUGGUGAAGGAACUUACGGUGUGGUUUAUAAGGCACGAGACAAAGUGACCAAUGAGACUAUCUAUCUAUAGCUUUGAAGAAGAUCCGGCUUGAGCAGGAGGAUGAAGGCGGCGUGCCUAGCACAGCAAAUUAGAGAAAAUCUCCGUGCUCCGUGGAAUUGCGUAUUGCCACUCUCACAGAGUUCUCCAUCGUGAUCUACAGCCACAUAAUUUGUUGAUUGAUCGCCCCCACCAACUCACUAAAGCUUGCAGAUUUUAUUUAGACUGACCAGAGCAUUUGGUAUCCCUGUCAGGACGGUUACUCAUGCGGUGCCAAAGAGCUUAAUUCUUUGUUCAUAUGUUUCUGUAAUGAAAUCUUUGGCAUGGGCUUCAUAUUUGCUUCAUUCCUCAAGGGUAAAGAACCACUUACGUAUCUGAUAUAUACGUUAAUAAAGGACUAAGAAAUUUCAGAUAGACGGUCGAAUAAUGUUAGAUUCGAGAUAUUCAUAAUAAGUUUCAGUGCUAGAUUCAGA